UCCUUGGUAGCUCAGCUGGUAGAGCGAACGAUUGUUAAUCGUUAGGUCGGUGGUUCGAGUCCACUCCCAAGGAGCCA
RNAcentral lists this transfer RNA (77 nucleotides) under Bradyrhizobium sp. LTSPM299. RNAcentral describes it as "tRNA-Asn". It matches the Rfam family "tRNA". From Rfam's summary of the family: Transfer RNA (tRNA) molecules are approximately 80 nucleotides in length. Their secondary structure includes four short double-helical elements and three loops (D, anti-codon, and T loops). Lineage: Bacteria; Pseudomonadati; Pseudomonadota; Alphaproteobacteria; Hyphomicrobiales; Nitrobacteraceae. The record is from RNAcentral.